ACUCUAUUAACACACACUUUUUGUAAUAAUUCUCUUUUAAGACAUGUAGUGUAAUUUAUUGGGCAUUCAUAAUGCCUAUUAAAUGCGUCAUGCUAGACCUGCUGACAAUUAAUACAGUAUAAGAAUUAAUCAAAACUUUUCCAUACAUAAGUCACAACAAAUCUGACUGUAUUUACUGAGUUCACUUUGAUCCAGUUAAUAAUAAUUUGGGGGGGGGGGGUAUGCAACCGGAAGCGCUUUUUCCUGUAGAAACACGUGGUUGAUUAGGACAUAAAUACGACCUCUUGCCAGCGUAACAUCCUUUCUGCUGGCGACGUUCAGAGAAGUUGUAUCAUUUGUGGUUUCAGCGAAAUAUUGGGUUUGAUUGGCCUUUUUUAUUUUUUUUAGUAACGUUACUUAGAAACUAAUUUAAUUGCCUGUUUAUAUCGUUUUAGCCUACAUAUAUUGUAGAUGUGAAAAUUUAGCCUGCUGCGGGUUUUUUUUUUUUUUUACCGUUUGUAAAAUAUAGUUAGAAUCAAGAGGAGGUGUUCCCAAUCAAAUCGAUGUGACGGACCCAUUGGAUUUGUUCUCUGUAAGUGAAUCACUUUAUUCAUAUUUCACAGGAAUACUGAAAGCUAUGUGUGAUUUAAUUGAGAAGUUUUGUUGCUUGCCGAAUUGGCAGGUGCAUCUGCUUUGCUAACUACAUCCAGAUGCCUCGGGUUAAGCCCGACUGUAUCAGUACUGUCGCGGUUUAGCCUGCCUCGAGUCCGCCGCAGCUCAGCCCAGACAUGAUGAUUUAGCAGUCCGUGUUUCACCUGAAUCUGAUGAUUACAAACCUACUGCACUGACUGGUUAAAGUUGCGGAAUGCAGCGAUGAGAUGUUUUGGUUUCACUCGGAAUGUAUUAUAAUACGCAGCAUUUCUGUUUGUUUACAGGAACCCGCCUUUAUGGACAUGAGGUGAGUUCAAAUCUCGCGUGCCUUGUGCGAACAAAUGUCUCCCGCCGAGGUCAUGAAUUGCAUGAUAGUCCGUGUUUUGUGAUAGUCAGUGAUUAUUAGCAUGCUCCGAUUAAAGUGUUAAGCGGUGAAAACCAACCCGUUAUGUCUAAACCUUCGGAUUUUUUUUGUAAUGCAAUGUUCGUUUACUUUUUACAGAGACCCGCACUUAUGGAAAUGAGGUGAGCGCAAAUCUUGUUAGUCUCAUGCAAGCGAGUGUCUUUUGCUGAAGUGAUGAGUUGCAUGUAGUCCGUGUUUCUGAUAGCCAGUGAUUAUUAACAUGCUCUGAUUUAAAAUGUUCAGAGGUGAAAACGAACCCCAGUUUAGUAUGUUUGUUCUAAUCUCUUCAUUAAUAUUCUGCAGGUACCUUCGCGACUGAAAGCAGUAAAGUGUUUAAUAAGGUAUUUACUUCAUGUGACCAGACUGACUUCUAUGGUUUUGAGUAAACUCCACUGACCUUUUAUUAAAAAAUAUGUAUGUAGAAAACUAGAGUAUAUAAAUGUAACUUGUAGUAUAGUAGGUCCAUGUGCUUGCUAUCCUUUGAACUCUGAAAGAUGCCAGCAAUAUGCUGUCGGUCAGUGAUGUAAUUAUUUGAAACCGCUACAAUAAAUUCUCAUUUUAAAGUGCA
Cyprinus carpio (common carp) is the source of this 1601-nucleotide long non-coding RNA. RefSeq lists it as uncharacterized. The record is from RefSeq and is a predicted model, not a curated record. The transcript has 2 exons. NCBI's taxonomy places the organism in Eukaryota, Metazoa, Chordata, Actinopteri, Cypriniformes, Cyprinidae.